This is a small nucleolar RNA of Apodemus sylvaticus (European woodmouse), 131 nucleotides long. RefSeq annotates it as small nucleolar RNA SNORA17. The transcript has a single exon. The record is from RefSeq and is a predicted model, not a curated record. NCBI's taxonomy places the organism in Eukaryota, Metazoa, Chordata, Mammalia, Rodentia, Muridae.
GCUGCCCCUAGAGGCUUUGUCCUUGUGGCUGUUGUGUCAUAGGUGUACAGGAAGUAACAGAGAGGCGAGAGACUAUGUCUGUAUUCAAUGUUCUGACCUGUCAACAUUGGAAUGAUUAGUAGCCUAACAAC